CAGGAAUCGAACUUGGGACCUAGUGCUUACCAGGAUAUAGGGCCCCGUCUGAUUUGGUCAGUAGAGAAGCAGACAAACGAGCAGGUGAGCCUAAGUGGCCCGGAACACGGUUACAUAAAAACCUGAAGGAGGAGGCACAAGAAAGACAGUGCAGCCAAGAACAGAGGCCACCUUUGCUAAAUUCAUGAAACCCCUGCUUUGAUUGCCCAUGGGGAGAGAUCAACUGGAAAACGUGAGGAGCCAAGAUGGGAAACUCGAAGUCAGCCUCGAAUUCUUUUACUUCAUUGAAUUGUAUUCUUACACACUGGGAUUCUUUUGAUCCCCAAAGUUUAAAGAAAUGUUCCUUAAUCUUUUUCUGCACGUGUGCAUGGCCUACUUACCCUCUGGGUGAGAAAAGAUGGAGACCCGAGGGAAGUACUGAUUAUGACACUAUCCUCCAGCUGGAAUUAUUUUGUAAGAGACAGGGGAAAUGGUCAGAGGUCCCUGACGUUCAAAUUUUCUUCACUUUGACAGACAAUCUUGAUUUAUGCUCAAAGUGUGGGUGUGAUCAGAAAGAAAAUUGGGUGGCUUUAACUGGUAGAUCUGGUGUAUCCACCACCACCAGGCCUGAUGCUCCUCCCCUGCACCCUGCGGGCCCUGAAGCCCCUAAGCCACUGCAGAUGAAAGCUUCCAGCCCAUGGGCACACACGCCUUAUUCUCCCUCAGUGAUCUUAGACAAAUAAAACAAGAUUUAGGGAAAUUUUCAGGUGACCCUGAUGAGUACAUUGAGGUUUUUAGAGGACUUACUCAGUCUUUUUACUUAGCUUGGGAAAAUGUUAUGUUACUUUUAAACCAGACCCUGACCCCUGGUGAGAUGCAAGCGGCUUUGCAAGCUGCUAUAGCCUUUGGGGACGAGCUAUACCUCAGGUAUUCCAAAAGGCCAGAGGCCUUAGGACCAGGAGAACAGCCUUUCCUUACGGGAGCCCAGGCUGUCCCACAGCGGGAUCCCCAGUGGGACCCCAAUACUGCAGUGGGGGACUGGAACAGGAGACAUUUCCAAACUUGUGUUCUUGAGGGCCUGAGGAGAACCAGGUCCAAACCUCAGAACUAUUCUAAAUUGUCAACUAUCAGCCAAGGGAAGGAUGAGAAUCCCUCGGCCUUUUCAGAACGACUGCAAGCCGCUCUAAGUAUACGUCUUUGUCUCUUGAGUCAGAGGUG
Long non-coding RNA from Chinchilla lanigera (long-tailed chinchilla), 1197 nucleotides. RefSeq lists it as uncharacterized. The transcript is spliced from 4 exons. NCBI's taxonomy places the organism in Eukaryota, Metazoa, Chordata, Mammalia, Rodentia, Chinchillidae. The record is from RefSeq and is a predicted model, not a curated record.